RNAcentral lists this ribosomal RNA (1046 nucleotides) under gamma proteobacterium symbiont of Isorropodon bigoti. Its description in RNAcentral is "bacterial LSU rRNA". It matches the Rfam family "Bacterial large subunit ribosomal RNA", at positions 1146 to 2164 of the family's 2925-position model. Lineage: Bacteria; Pseudomonadati; Pseudomonadota; Gammaproteobacteria. The record is from RNAcentral.
UGGUCGAGUCGGUUUGCGCGGAAGAUUUAACGGGGCUAAAACUACAUACCGAAGCUACGGAUUGCAAUAAAUUGCGAUGGUAGGAGAGCGUUCUGUAAGCCGUUGAAGGUGAACUGUGAGGUUUGCUGGAGGUAUCAGAAGUGCGAAUGCUGACAUGAGUAACGAUAAAGGGGGUGAAAAACCCCCUCGCCAGAAGUCCAAGGUUUCCUACGCAACGUUAAUCGGCGUAGGGUUAGUCGGCCCCUAAGGCGAGGCAGAAAUGCGUAGUCGAUGGGAAAUGGGUUAAUAUUCCCAUACUUCAUAUAAACUGCGAUGGGAAGACGGAGAAGGUUAACGCAGCUUGGCGAUGGUUGUCCAAGUUCAAGCGUGUAGAGUAGGUUCUUAGGAAAACCCGGGAACCUUAGAUUUAGUUCUAAAGCUCAAGGCGUGAUAACGAACCCUCUUUUGGGAAAAGUGCGUGAUACCAUGCUUUCAGGAAAAUCCUCUAAGCUUCAGGUUAUAUGAAACCGUACCCAAAACCGACACAGGUGGACGAGAUGAGAAUUCUAAGGCGCUUGAGAGAACUCGGGUGAAGGAACUAGGCAAAAUGACACCGUAACUUCGGGAGAAGGUGUGCUCUUGCCGGUGAUUUUACUUGCUAAAUGAGCUGGUAAGAGUUGAAGAUACCAGGUGGCUCCGACUGUUUAUUAAAAACACAGCACUCUGCAAACACGUAAGUGGACGUAUAGGGUGUGACGCCUGCCCGGUGCUUGAAGGUUAAUUGAUGAGGUUAGGAUUCGUUCGAAGCUUUUGAUUGAAGCCCAAGUAAACGGCGGCCGUAACUAUAACGGUCCUAAGGUAGCGAAAUUCCUUGUCGGGUAAGUUCCGACCUGCACGAAUGGCGUAACGAGGGCCACACUGUCUCCACCCGAGACUCAGUGAAAUUGAAAUUGCUGUUAAGAUGCAGUAUACCCACGGCCAGACGGAAAGACCCCGUGCACCUUUACUACAGCUUUGCAUUGAACUUUGAUCCUACUUGUGUAGGAUAGGUGGGAGGCUUUGAAACU